RNAcentral lists this long non-coding RNA (292 nucleotides) under Chelydra serpentina (North American snapping turtle). RNAcentral's name for it is "lncRNA (ENSCSRG00000001175.1)". Lineage: Eukaryota; Metazoa; Chordata; Testudines; Chelydridae. The record is from RNAcentral.
CUUUGGAGAGCUGUGGAAAUGGGUCUGAACUCACAUGCUGCCUAUUUCUUUGCCCUAUGGACCAGCCACCUGUUUCUCCUGACAGCUGGGCACUUGAGGGUGAAUCCUAGAAUUAUUACAGCUCCAAAAGGGGAGAGACGCUUUCUGCUGGAAAAGCAUGAGACUCUCACAACUCUCUACCAUGAGGAGGGGAAUUCCUCUCUCUUGGUGGGAGCGGAGGGAAAGCUCUACUACUUCGACUUUGAGCGCUUCAGUAACCACACGGAGGACUUCCCUGAACAGGAUUCAGAAG